UGCCUUUGGGGCUGUCCGCUUUGCGGCUGCCAGAGGGAGUCUGGUGUUUGCGGAGCAGGUGGGGUUGGGAACCGGGUGGGACUUGGCUUUAGAAUUUCCUCUGGCGACCCAGUCUUUCCUCAGGCUUCCUGGAGGGAGCAUCUCCUUCGGGGAUAUUAGUAGCAGCGUUUUAGACUGGAAGAAAGUCAAAAAAUCCCUCCUUGGGGCACUGCAGUCCCCUUGGAGCACUGUGAUACCUGGAGGUGAUAGAGGGAAGCUGAAAAAUUUUAUCUGAGAUGGUGAUGAAGCAGACUGAAAGUAUAUCUUUG
Molecule: long non-coding RNA, 308 nt
Organism: Equus quagga
Lineage: Eukaryota; Metazoa; Chordata; Mammalia; Perissodactyla; Equidae
Exons: 3
Source: RefSeq, a predicted model, not a curated record